GUGAUGGUGGUGGUGGUGGUGGUGUUUGCGUUUGUGCAUGUGUUGGCGAUCGAGCGAGCGAGCGACCGAGCCAGCAGCGAACUUUCUUCACAACUAAACGCCAGUCCAGUCGAGUCCAGUCCAGUAAAGUAAACAGCCAUCUCUCCAUCUCUCUCUCUCUAUCUCUCCUUAUUCUCCGGCCCACCACAAACACACAUAACUAAAAGAAAGAAAACAAAACAACCCUAACACAACAAAAAAACAACAACCUACCGCUGGUCAUGUUGGAUCCUUCAUCGGGGACCCAAAGGAACAACAAGCUAGAAUGCUUCCUCAAAAGGUCCCUCCCCAGCGAACGUUACGACCGGCUCCGUGCAUACGAGGCCUGCAUCGUUGACAAGACAUUCAAGUACAUUAUCAUCGGUGACCAAUGCAUAUAUCUGACCGAAAACCCUCCUCGGACACUUCAACCCGUUGUAUUUUACCAGGAACUUAGGGACGUACAACUGGAGUAUGACUUACCAAAUUUCCUUCAAGGUUUGGAACGAGAGCAGACUCUACACAUUGUCCUCACCUACAGCAGGAAUAUCCACAAGAAGACACAAGAUGGUACCAGUUCAGAUAUUAACCAAAGCCAGAGCAGCUUAUUCUUAAACACUUUAUUUACAAAAACACAAUCUUCCAGAGCGCCGACCAAUCAUCGGAAAUCGAGUUUUGAUGAGACAUUGUUGCAAUCUUCAAGAAGCAUUGUGGAUCAUUCUAUGGACGGAAGCAACACACUUCUCUCUAUGUCAAUGCCGUCAAAUCUAUGGCACACUCUAGAGAAAAAUGACAAUCGCACCAACACAUCUGAAGAAAUCUCUAUUGGCAAAUGUAAGCACAAGCCAAGUUUGAUCCACCGUAUCAGGAAACCGUUCUCGAGAGUUUGGUAUAAUUUCCUCAAUAUCAAACGGCAUGGGAUGUUGAAGAACAGACACAGUACCUCGAAGGUGCGACUAAAGAUCGAUGAAGAUUCAGACAUUGACAGCAAAGAUGAAAAUGAGAGCAGGCUGCCGUCACCAAGGGACAUUUCUGAAAGCAAAACAAAGACAUUACGUGGUUCCAAAGUGUCACACAACCCGGGGAAAUCUUCCAAUGCCAUACAGCUGUAUGUCCUCGAUGUGUAUUUGCUGAAGAACAACUCUCCAUCAUUGGACCUCAUUAGGUACGCCUGGGAUAAUUACUUGAUUAGGUCUACAGAGCAACAGUCAAAUCGAAGGUGUACAGAUGUCUCUACACAGGACAGUCAAAGUCUAAGUGUCCAGCCAGAAGUCCUGUUUGUUCGAAUAAAACAAGAAUUGCUCAGUGAAAACUACUAUUCUGAUGUGUUACUCUUUUUGUGCUCAAGGCUACAUACGUCUGCUCUCUCGUGCUUUACAAUAAAGAAGUUAUUCUGGAAGGAUCCGGAGCUUUUCAUGUUUUUGGUUGGAAUACUUUGUAAAUAUGUUCCCGGAUUUGUGUCGAGUGGAGGGGGAACCGUCUGUGAUAGCAAAGAUGAGGACAAAAAACUGCAGAGUCUGUUGUGCCUAGUUUUGGAAAUUCUGCGAGUCAUGUUCCGAGAAACUGAAGUCCUGUCAUCCCGGAUAUCAACCCUCGUCGCAGCCAAAGAAGGUGUAUUUGAAUUAAUGAAGAUCCUCAUUAGUGUGUUGUCAAGGCAACCGGCCCCUAUCAGAAAGAAGAACCAAUCACAGUCGGUGAAAUCUUCAAUCCCAGAGGAAUUAACUGAAUUAAGCAUUGGCGUAAUCUUUGAGCUGUUCGUUUGUGUCCAACAGAAGUUAGAUGGAAGUAAGGAAGACAUUUGUACCAGUUGGUUGGUUGGCGCUGUGGAAGAUAUUGGGGCUGAGGAUAUGAUCAACGAUAUGGUGAGCCAAGUCCUAGAACUGACCAAACCAACAUCCAAUGGCAACAAUUGUGUAGAGGUCAGCUGUCUGUUGCCACUACAAGUGCUAAAACUCUACCAACAUUACUACAUCCUGGCUGUUAUCCUAGAAAAUAGCUCUCAACUGGCUGAGUAUAUCCACUCAAACUAUUUGAGUGAGUUCAAAUAUCUGGUUCAAGUGCCGGUGCUUAAACAAAGACUCUCAACUCACUGUCCACUCUCCAACACUGUCUUACAACUGAUUAUGAAGGUUUUACAGAAAAUUGUAUAUUGACCUUUGAAUGGUAGACCCCAUCCAGAAAAGGGGUCACUCAGACUGACUGGCAUUAAGUCAGUCACAGACACUCUCCAGUCGUCCCCAGCCCACAGAUACAUUGUCUUCUCUCUCUGCCUUUUCUGUCGCUCGGCGCCUGUUUCCGUCCUUCUAUCAUACUCUAACUUCUCAUCACCUGGCAUAAGGCCACCUCCCUCAAUACUACUCCGCCACCCUGUCCACCUUGGUCUUGUCUUGAAAAUUACUUGGUGAUCUCACUGGUGUUGGUGGUAUGAAAAAGAAGGCACCUUAGUAAACUCUGUGAAGUGGUUGGCAUUCGGAAGGGCAUCCAGCUGCAGAAAACAUGCUCUUGUCGAACCAUCCAACACAUACAGCACGAAAAACAGACGUUAAAUGGUGCUGCUGUUGCUGCUGAUGAUGAUGAUGGUGUCAAUGAUAAUAAUAAUGGCCUCUGCUCCUCAGAGCUGGCUAGGCUCUUGCCACCUCUCUUCAGAUCCUUCCAAUCUACUCAUCUGUCCUCACUUCACCACCUUUGGUAUGUAUUGUGUCCUACCCCUUUCAUCCAUACCCUACACCAUCCACAGAGCCCAAUCUUUCCUCCUCAGAACUUCAUCCCUCUGGAACUCUCACUCUGCUCAUGUCUCUUCCACAAUUGUGAACUUGCAGUGGUUUAAUAGGAACAGCAGCAAUAUCUCUUUAACCAGUUUUGGAGGGCUUGCAAAUGUCAUGGGCACUGCCCAUCCCUCAAAACCCUGCAAAUGAAAAAAACAUAAAUAAAAUAGUCGCAGGAGUGGCUGUAGAGAAAGAGUG
This 2981-nucleotide unclassified non-coding RNA is filed under the name Octopus sinensis (East Asian common octopus). RNAcentral's name for it is "uncharacterized protein C12orf56-like, transcript variant X4". The record is from RNAcentral. Lineage: Eukaryota; Metazoa; Mollusca; Cephalopoda; Octopoda; Octopodidae.